GCGGGAGUGGCGGAACUGGCAGACGCGCCAGACUUAGGAUCUGGUGCCGCAAGGCGUGGAGGUUCGAGUCCUCUCUCCCGCA
Molecule: transfer RNA, 82 nt
Filed under: Nitratiruptor sp. SB155-2
Lineage: Bacteria; Pseudomonadati; Campylobacterota; Epsilonproteobacteria; Nautiliales; Nitratiruptoraceae
Also listed under: 5 other names
Rfam family: tRNA
About the family: Transfer RNA (tRNA) molecules are approximately 80 nucleotides in length.
Source: Rfam by way of RNAcentral